Molecule: ribosomal RNA, 254 nt
Filed under: uncultured bacterium
Lineage: Bacteria
Description: partial 16S ribosomal RNA
Rfam family: Bacterial small subunit ribosomal RNA
Source: RNAcentral
UACGUAGGGUGCGAGCGUUGUCCGGAAUUAUUGGGCGUAAAGAGCUCGUAGGCGGUCUGUCGCGUCGAAUGUGAAAACCCGGGGCUCAACUCCGGGCUUGCAUUCGAUACGGGCAGGCUAGAGUUCGGUAGGGGAGUCUGGAAUUCCUGGUGUAGCGGUGAAAUGACGCAGAUAUCAGGAAGAACACCCGUGGCGAAGGCGGCUCUCUGGAACGCAACUGACGCUGAGGAGCGAAAGCGUGGGGAGCGAACAGG